GACGAACGCUGGCGGCGCGCCUAACACAUGCAAGUCGAACGGAGCUGCGAGAAGCUUGCUUUUCUUAGCUUAGUGGCGCACGGGUGAGUAACGCGUGAGUAACCUGCCCUGGAGUGGGGGACAACAGUUGGAAACGACUGCUAAUACCGCAUAAGCCCACGAUCCGGCAUCGGCUUGAGGGAAAAGGAUUUAUUCGCUUCAGGAUGGACUCGCGUCCACUUAGCUAGUUGGUGAGGUAACGGCCCACCAAGGCGACGAUUGGUAGCCGGACUGAGAGGUUGAACGGCCACAUUGGGACUGAGACACGGCCCAGACUCCUACGGGAGGCAGCAGUGGGGGAUAUUGCACAAUGGGGGAAACCCUGAUGCAGCGACGCCGCGUGGAGGAAGAAGGUUUUCGGAUUGUAAACUCCUGUCGUUAGGGACGAUAAUGACGGUACCUAACAAGAAAGCACCGGCUAACUACGUG
This 468-nucleotide ribosomal RNA is filed under the name uncultured bacterium. RNAcentral's name for it is "partial 16S ribosomal RNA". It matches the Rfam family "Bacterial small subunit ribosomal RNA", at positions 28 to 507 of the family's 1533-position model. The record is from RNAcentral.